GGAUCAGUAGGUUGGUCGUGCCACCGGUACGUACUGGUCUCACUGAUUCCUCCUUCCUGAAGAACCGUAAUGCCAUUAAUUUGGUGUUGCGGGGAAACAGGACUGUUACUUUGAAAAAAUUAGAGUGUUUAAAGCAAGCUAACGCUUGAAUACAUUAGCAUGGAAUAAUGAAAUAGGACGAUCCAUCCUAUUUUGUUGGUUUCUAGGAUUGACGUA
This 216-nucleotide ribosomal RNA is filed under the name Glomeromycotina sp. RNAcentral describes it as "partial small subunit ribosomal RNA". The stretch from base 40 to 216 matches the Rfam family "Eukaryotic small subunit ribosomal RNA", at positions 686 to 864 of the family's 1831-position model. Lineage: Eukaryota; Fungi; Glomeromycota. The record is from RNAcentral.